AUUGAUGGCUGGAAUGAAUGAAUAUACGAGAGCUCAACUGUCUCAUUUUUACAAAUAUAAAUUGACCCUCAAGUGAAGAGACUUGAAUUCUUAAAAAAGACGAAAAGACCCUAUAGAGCUUUACCUGAAAUCUAUAUCAUAUAUAACAAAGGUUUAGUUGGGGCAACUAGAGAGCACCUAAAACCUCUCUUCAAAUUUUCUAAUAACGAUCCGUUUUUACGAUAAGUAGAAAAAGCUACCUUAGGGAUAACAGGCUAAUCCUCUUUAAGAGACCAUAUUGACAAGAGGGA
RNAcentral lists this ribosomal RNA (290 nucleotides) under Polydora hoplura. Its description in RNAcentral is "partial large subunit ribosomal RNA". It matches the Rfam family "Bacterial large subunit ribosomal RNA", at positions 1979 to 2517 of the family's 2925-position model. The record is from RNAcentral. Lineage: Eukaryota; Metazoa; Annelida; Polychaeta; Spionida; Spionidae.